UGAGAAGAUGAGUGCAGAGUAGGCGAGCAGGAGAGAGAAUAUCCAUGUAAAUACUGGGACCCAGGAGGAUACAGCAGAGGCUAAAAGGGCUCUCAUUAAGAUCUACAUGGGAACACAUCCAAGGAGUCACCCUCUCUGCAUAUCAUCUCCCAUUACUCAAGACCUGUUCACAGUUCUCCAAUACCCUCACCAAACGUCCAAGGCACCCUUAAGGAGUAGGCGAAGAAGUCAAAACAUCUGAGACUGACCUGAACUCUCCAGUGCAGAAUUGCCUAAAAGGAAAGAAAGAGCGAACGAUUCAGCCGCUGUACCAUCACUGCUUGGAGCACCUCUAAUCUUUGGAGAGAAGAGUUCAAACACUGGGACCAGCAUGUCCACUAACUAGCUGAUCGGGCGGAUAUCAGGGCAUGUAGACUAGUGAUAAAGUUGAUAUGGGAUUGGUCAAAGUCGGUAGCUAUUUUGACCAAUGCCGUACCGAGAGCACAGAGCUCCAAGGGAAUUAAUAGAUGGACAGAGGCUGACAUGGCAAAGACUGACCGGAGGCCGGCUUCGGGCUCAGCUCUGGUUCACUUGGAGCAUAUCCUACCUAAAGUUCUCUGCCGUCUUAGGCACCACGUCUGCAAAGAGCUCGAUCUUCAUGCGACCAACUUCCUGCAAGAAAAGGGAGACGCAAUACUCAGCCCAUGACCGCUGUCCAAGCAGCGCGGAAGCUCCAACCUCCGCCACCUGGCCCAGCCUGUCUCGGGAGGGCUAGAAGGGGCUCCUCAGCUGCCUCCCUUACCCGAGUCCAGCCAGCCCGCACAGGCCCGGCAGGCUGCCCGCACCUCACCUGGCCGCCAAUGCUGACAUCGAAGAAGACCACUGGAUUGACUGGACUUGAAUUUGCCACCGCCAUGGCUUUGGCCCGGAAGUAGAAGCCUGGCUUCCGGUGGCGGGUCCCGAGAACGUCCUCCAAAGCGCAGACGCAGUGGGAACAGACCCCGGUUGCGCCACGCCCCGGAAGUGUGGCGAGCGCUGAGGUAGUUGGGAAUGGUAUUUUUUAGCUGAGCUGGUCGGAGCUGAGGGAAGGAAGCGGGGCAUCUUUGUCGAAGUCUAUGGACUCCCCUCUCGCAUGACUGUACUAGCGCAAUACAAAUGAAUCUUCUGCAGACAG
Molecule: long non-coding RNA, 1153 nt
Organism: Mastomys coucha (southern multimammate mouse)
Lineage: Eukaryota; Metazoa; Chordata; Mammalia; Rodentia; Muridae
Exons: 2
Source: RefSeq, a predicted model, not a curated record